RNAcentral lists this ribosomal RNA (211 nucleotides) under Arthrinium phaeospermum. Its description in RNAcentral is "partial large subunit ribosomal RNA". Lineage: Eukaryota; Fungi; Ascomycota; Sordariomycetes; Amphisphaeriales; Apiosporaceae. The record is from RNAcentral.
AAGGAUUUAUGACCAGACUUUUUCUAGGGGAAUCAUCCGGUGUUCUCACCGGUGCACUUCCCCUAGUUGAGGCCAGCAUCGGUUUCUGUCGAGGGAUAAAAGCUUUAGGAAUGUGGCACCCUCCGGGGUGUGUUAUAGCCUGUUGCAUAAUACCUUGACGGGGACCGAGGUUCGCGCAUUGCAAGGAUGCUGGCGUAAUGGUUAUUAAUCA